UUUUUUUUUUUUUUUUUUUUUUUUUUUGCUUUUUGGGGCUGCACCUGCAGCAUAUGGAGUUUCCCAGACUAGGAGUGGAAUCGGAACUACAGCUGCUGGCCACAGCCACAGCCACAGCCACAGCCACCCACAACCUCAAGGUUCCUAGCCGGAUUCAUUUCUGCUGCACCACAAUGGGAACUCCAGAGAAAAAUAAAUUUUAAUACAACAUUAUGGUAUCGUAGAAAAGAAAUGAGUUAUCAGGGUAUGAAAUUCCUUAACUAAUAGGAAACCACAUAAUUACCAGUAAGUAGAAUAGCAGGGCAAUUCAAAUUUUGUACAUUAUACACAUCUGACGGAAAAGGCUAAAAUCACGUGUCUUUCUUCAACAUUUCAAGUGGGACAUUGGCUAACUGGCCUAACACCUCAUUCCUAUUCUACCAGUAAAAUGUUUAUCUGAAAAAAACAAUAUCUAGAAGAAUCCAAUAGUUACUAAUCAUAGUCAUUAAAAUGUUCAUUAGAGAACUGCAGUAAAAUUAUUUUCCAAGUAUGCAUGGAAUACCAGAAAUACCAAAUAACUAUUAUUUUCAUGACUAUUUGAUUUAUAGCCAGUGAAAUAACACAAUACUAAGAAAAUACAACUCCAAAUCAUAAUGCAAUUAUUUAUAUGUCAAUAAUUAGCCCAGUUUCUUAUAGUACAGCAGGACUCAAUAAAUAGAUAUUUUUAAAAGGGAAGAAAAUAAUCUUCCUCCAAAUUACACACUUCUACCUGCCAAGUUUGACUUAAUAUAGACGUAUAAAACCAAAGAUGCCACUUCAGUUUUUACUUUUUUUCUCUCUCCUCAAACAAACAAUUUUAGACCUUCUGCAAAGAGCAUGCCUUUUUUUUUUUUUAAUCAAGAGCAUUUCUUUUUGAUGAAACCUGAUAAACAUUCUAUGUGAGGGAUUCCCCAGGCAAAACUCUGUGGGAAGUAAAAUACCUGUAGCCUAAGUACAGAGAUUCUUGUGAAUCAAAUAACCUUAUCUAAAAUUCAAGUGUUCAAGGAAUAAUGUACACCUAAAGAUAUCCAUAGGAAGAGCCAUACAGUUUUAUUAUUUCUCCUAUAACAAAAUUUAGGAUAUAUUUAAAACAUAAUAAAGUUAUACUAUUAUCUAUACAACAGAGAUUUAGAAUUUAUAACUGUUCCCUCUAAUUCUAAGCAAGCUACUUUUGAGUCUUCCAUCACCAUUCUCACAACUCUUUCAAACAUGGAUUCUCUAACACUAAUAGAUCCCUAACUUUUCCUUUAGACUUACCUACUUCCUCCUAAUGGUCACAAAGAGGGAGUCAAGGUAAAGUGAGGAGGAAGAUGUUUGAAUGAAUCUGCCACUUCCAUAGCUGAACAAGUAAGUCGGGGUACUGCAUUUGAACACUUAGGGCUUGUAUCAGUUAAAAUAGUUUGGCUGUAAAUGGCUUGAAAUACAAGGCAUUUUACGACUAGGAACCAUGAGGUGGCGGGCUCAAUCCGUGGCCUCGCUCAGUGGGUUAAGGAUCUGGCGUUGCUAUAAGCUGUGGUGUAGGGAAACGCUGAUUUCUUAAUCUACUGAGCGAGACCAGGGAUUGAACCUGCGUGCUCAUGGAUACCAGUCAGAUUCGUUUCCACUGAGCCACGACGGGAAGGAAAUUGCAUGACAAUCUUAAAGCCUGUCAAACUUCCCCUGUCACUGACCAGAAUUCUACCCCAUUUUCAUAACUGAAUCAAGUACUGAGAUGGAAAAUGAAAUGAUAACUGGUUUACACUAGUCAUGAUUCCCCAUGUCCCCCCACAGGGACGGGGGGCAACUCAACCAAAUUUUACUUGAAAUACCCACUAGUAGUUGCUACCCCAUGUCUUUGGAGUCAGGAAAAUUUGACUUAAAUCCCCACUUAUAGCUUAUGAUUUUUUUUUUUUUUAAUGAGAGUCGCAAUGUUUAUUUAAGAUUCUCUCUCUCUUUUCUUUUUUUUUUUUUUUUUUUUUGCCACACUUUCAGCAUGGGCCAGGGAUUGAAUCUGUGCCACAGCAGGAAACUGAGCCACAACAGUGUAAACACAGGAGCCUUAACACACUAGACCAUCGGAGAACUCCCAUAUCUUAUGAACUUUUAACUUUACGCAACCACUUAAUCUCUGAGUAUCAACUUUUUUGAGAGAGAUAUAGAUGCAUACAUAGGGUAUAGAUACCAAUACAGAUAUGACAAAUAUUUUUAAAUGAGUCUGUAUUGUCAGAAAUAUAAGGAUAAUUAAAAUACCUAACACAGAGCCUGAUACAGUGUGGAAUUUAAUAAAUUUUAUUUUAAUGUGUUUUCUUUAAUACGUACGCCCUCCUCAUUUCCUUCCUUCCUGCAACCAGAGCCCGAUAACUUCUCAAGGAGUGCAGUCAAAUUUGAUUAUCUCUCUAAAAUUUUCAAGUCUAAAAAUCUUUUACUUGAUAUUUUAAUAUCUCGUUCUACGUAUUCCACCAUGUCUUGACUAUCAGGGUUGCCAAAAUACUAGUUUAUUUGAAUAGCAGAUCAUGUAC
This 2516-nucleotide long non-coding RNA is filed under the name Sus scrofa (pig). RNAcentral describes it as "lncRNA (ENSSSCG00045025918.1)". Lineage: Eukaryota; Metazoa; Chordata; Mammalia; Artiodactyla; Suidae. The record is from RNAcentral.